GACGAACGCUGGCGGCGUACUUAACACAUGCAAGUCGAGCGGAAAGGCCCUUCGGGGUACUCGAGCGGCGAACGGGUGAGUAACACGUGAGUAACCUGCCCCAGACUUUGGGAUAACCCUCGGAAACGGGGGCUAAUACCGGAUACGACACAGCUUCGCAUGGGGUCUGUGUGGAAAGUUUUUCGGUUUGGGAUGGGCUCGCGGCCUAUCAGCUUGUUGGUGGGGUGAUGGCCUACCAAGGCGACGACGGGUAGCCGGCCUGAGAGGGCGACCGGCCACACUGGGACUGAGACACGGCCCAGACUCCUACGGGAGGCAGCAGUGGGGAAUAUUGCACAAUGGGCGGAAGCCUGAUGCAGCGACGCCGCGUGAGGGAUGACGGCCUUCGGGUUGUAAACCUCUUUCAGCAGGGACGAAGCGUAAGUGACGGUACCUGCAGAAGAAGCGCCGGCCAACUACGUG
RNAcentral lists this ribosomal RNA (462 nucleotides) under uncultured bacterium. RNAcentral describes it as "partial 16S ribosomal RNA". It matches the Rfam family "Bacterial small subunit ribosomal RNA", at positions 28 to 507 of the family's 1533-position model. The record is from RNAcentral.